CAGGGAUUGCUCUAGUAACGGCGAGUGAAGCAGCAAUAGCUCAAAUUUGAAAUCUGGCGUCUUCGACGUCCGAGUUGUAAUUUGUAGAGGAUGCUUCUGAGUAACCACCGACCUAAGUUCCUUGGAACAGGACGUCAUAGAGGGUGAGAAUCCCGUAUGCGGUCGGAAAGGUGCUCUAUACGUAGCUCCUUCGACGAGUCGAGUUGUUUGGGAAUGCAGCUCUAAAUGGGAGGUAAAUUUCUUCUAAAGCUAAAUAUUGGCCAGAGACCGAUAGCGCACAAGUAGAGUGAUCGAAAGAUGAAAAGCACUUUGGAAAGAGAGUUAAAAAGCACGUGAAAUUGUUAAAAGGGAAGGGAUUGCAACCAGACUUGCUCGCGGUGUUCCGCCGGUCUUCUGACCGGUCUACUCGCCGCGUUGCAGGCCAGCAUCGUCUGGUGCCGCUGGAUAAGACUUGAGGAAUGUAGCUCCCUCGGGAGUGUUAUAGCCUCUUGUGAUGCAGCGAGCGCCGG
RNAcentral lists this ribosomal RNA (509 nucleotides) under Cladosporium sp. PQM08. Its description in RNAcentral is "eukaryotic LSU rRNA". It matches the Rfam family "Eukaryotic large subunit ribosomal RNA", at positions 69 to 499 of the family's 3401-position model. The record is from RNAcentral. Lineage: Eukaryota; Fungi; Ascomycota; Dothideomycetes; Cladosporiales; Cladosporiaceae.